UUACCGCGGCUGCUGGCACGAAAUUAGCCGGUGCUUCUUCUGUGGGUAACGUCAAGUACUUCCGAUUAUUAGCCAGAAGCCUUCCUCCCCACUGAAAGUGCUUUACAACCCUAAGGCCUUCUUCACACACGCGGCAUGGCUGGAUCAGGGUUUCCCCCAUUGUCCAAUAUUCCCCACUGCUGCCUCCCGUAGGAGUCUGGGCCGUGUCUCAGUCCCAGUGUGGCUGAUCAUCCUCUCAGACCAGCUACGGAUCGUCGCCUUGGUAGGCCUUUACCCUACCAACUAGCUAAUCCGACGCAGGCUCAUCUAUCGACGCAAGGCCCGAAGGUCCCCUGCUUUCCCCCGUAGGGCUUAUGCGGUAUUACCUUGAGUUUCCCCAAGCUAUCCCCCACCAAUAGGUAGAUUCCCACGUGUUCCUCACCCGUCCGCCGCUCGCCACCAGGAGCAAGCUCCCGUGCUGCCGCUCGACUUGCAUGUGUUAGGCCUGCCGCCAGCGUUCAAUCUGAGCCAUGAUCAAACUC
RNAcentral lists this ribosomal RNA (521 nucleotides) under uncultured Gammaproteobacteria bacterium. Its description in RNAcentral is "partial 16S ribosomal RNA". The record is from RNAcentral. Lineage: Bacteria; Pseudomonadati; Pseudomonadota; Gammaproteobacteria.